GUUUGCUUCACUUUGAAAUGGGAGUGCGUUACAUUAGCUAGUUGGUAGGGUAAUGGCCUACCAAGGCGAUGAUGUAUAGCUGAGUUGAGAGACUGAACAGCCACACUGGGACUGAGAUACGGCCCAGACUCCUACGGGAGGCAGCAGUAGGGAAUUUUCCACAAUGGACGAAAGUCUGAUGGAGUGACACAGCGUGCAGGAUGAAGGUCUUCGGAUUGUAAACUGCUGUUAUAAGGGAAGAAAAGCUUAGGGAGGAAAUGCCCUAAGUAUGACGGUACCUUGUCAGAAAGCACCGGCUAACUAUGUGCCAGCAGCUGCGGUAAUACAUAGGGUGCAAGCGUUAUCCGAAAUUAUUGGGUGUAAAGAGUUCGUAGGUUGUUUGUUAAGUCAGAAGUUAAAUCCCGGGGCUCAACCCUGGCCCGCUUUUGAUACUAGCAAACUAGAGUUAUAAAGAGGUUAGUGGAAUUCCUAGUGAAGCGGUGAAAUGUGUAGAUAUUAGGAAGAACAUCAAUGGCGAAGGCAGCUAACUGGUUAUGUACUGACACUGAGGAACGAAAGCGUGGGGAGCAAACAGGAUUAGAUACCCUGGUAGUCCACGCCGUAAACGAUGAUCAUUAGCUGGUGGAAUUUUUCACUAGCGCAGCUAACGCAUUAAAUGAUCCACCUGAGUAGUAUGCUCGCAAGAGUGAAACUUAAAG
RNAcentral lists this ribosomal RNA (698 nucleotides) under Sulfolobus sp. B5. RNAcentral describes it as "bacterial SSU rRNA". It matches the Rfam family "Bacterial small subunit ribosomal RNA", at positions 208 to 906 of the family's 1533-position model. Lineage: Archaea; Thermoproteati; Thermoproteota; Thermoprotei; Sulfolobales; Sulfolobaceae. The record is from RNAcentral.